This is a long non-coding RNA of Zea mays, 318 nucleotides long. RefSeq lists it as uncharacterized. The record is from RefSeq and is a predicted model, not a curated record. The transcript has 3 exons. Lineage: Eukaryota; Viridiplantae; Streptophyta; Magnoliopsida; Poales; Poaceae.
GUCCAGUGCCAACGAGCCGCUUUUGAAGUCCAACAUGUUCUCUCUCGGUGGCUCCAAGUUCUUAGGCGCAAUCAACAGAAGCAUCAACUUGGGUGGGCAGAGCGCUCUUGCUCUCCGUCUGCUCCGCGUUGUUUUUCCUUCUAAAAUUUCUACCAGUGCGAACUAUCCGUUUGGAGGAGAGUUCCGAGCAACUAGGAGAGUUUCUGAAGAUAUUGGAAGUACAACACAAAAAGGUCAGAACCACUUUUCAAUCUAACCAGAUGUUUAUAUGUUUGGUGGUGAAGCUACAAAAAUUCUAGACUAUGUGGAAUAUUUCCC